RNAcentral lists this ribosomal RNA (497 nucleotides) under uncultured bacterium. RNAcentral's name for it is "partial 16S ribosomal RNA". It matches the Rfam family "Bacterial small subunit ribosomal RNA", at positions 29 to 507 of the family's 1533-position model. The record is from RNAcentral.
AGUGAACGCUGGCGGCAGGCCUAAUACAUGCAAGUCGAACGAACGCACAGUAAGAGUUCUCCUCUAACGUUGGCGAGUGGCGGAUGGGUGAGACAUGCAUAACCUUCCUAUUAUACGUGGGUGAUUACGGGGAACAGGAUACGAUACUAGAGCAUAUGUUCUACCGCAGAAAUCAAGAGUUAAUGACACUUUUCCUGUCACUUUUAGAUGAUGCCGGGUCGCAUUAGCUAGUUGGUAAGGUAACGGCUUACCAAGGCAACGAUGCGUAGCCGACCUGAGAGGGUGAUCGGCCACACUGGAACUGAGACACGGUCCAGACUCCUACGGGAGGCAGCAGUAGGGAAUAUUCCGCAAUGGGCGAAAGCCUGACGGAGCAACGCCGCGUGAGUGAUGAAGGUCUUCGGAUUGUAAAACUCUGUUAUUAGGGAAGAACAAAUGUGUAAGAAACUAUGCACGUUUUGACGGUACCUAAUCAGAAAGCAACGGCUAACUACGUG